Molecule: long non-coding RNA, 247 nt
Filed under: Homo sapiens (human)
Lineage: Eukaryota; Metazoa; Chordata; Mammalia; Primates; Hominidae
Description: HSALNT0395300
Source: RNAcentral
AGAACCUUGAGAAAAGGCAAAUUCCGGCUUCAAGAAAUACAAUGCAAUUCAAAAGACUGCAACUUCAUACAUAAAAAAGUCCCUCAGAAAGCCAAAUGCUCGGACUGGGUAACAGCACCAGCCACAGGCACCUGCUUUCUUCCAAGAAGGAGCUCUCACCUGUCACUCAAAAGCACCUGCACUGAGAAGUUGGGAGAGCCAGAGAAGACUCCUGCCCUUUCUGAAUUUUACCAAUUAUCUAUUCAAA